GUGCCAGCCGCCGCGGUAAUACGGAGGGCGCAAGCGUUACUCAGAAUCACUGGGCGUAAAGAGUGUGUAGGCGGAUUGAUAAGUCAGAAGUGAAAUCCUAUAGCUUAACUAUAGAACUGCUUUUGAAACUGUUAAUCUAGAGUAUGGGAGAGGUAGAUGGAAUUUCUGGUGUAGGGGUAAAAUCCGUAGAGAUCAGAAGGAAUACCGAUUGCGAAGGCGAUCUACUGGAACAUUACUGACGCUGAGACGCGAAAGCGUGGGGAGCAAACAGGAUUAGAAACCCCAGUAGUCC
Molecule: ribosomal RNA, 292 nt
Filed under: uncultured bacterium
Lineage: Bacteria
Description: partial 16S ribosomal RNA
Rfam family: Bacterial small subunit ribosomal RNA
Source: RNAcentral